RNAcentral lists this long non-coding RNA (2278 nucleotides) under Pan troglodytes (chimpanzee). RNAcentral describes it as "lincRNA". The record is from RNAcentral. Lineage: Eukaryota; Metazoa; Chordata; Mammalia; Primates; Hominidae.
CAGCACGCUGUGUACCACUCUUGCUGGGUACGCCCACUCUGCCCGCACCUUGAAACCUGACCAGGUCUUCUCCCACCCCAUGAAUGUAAACAUUUUAACAACUAGCCUGACUGUGAAAAGCCCGGAGAAUCCUUCCUACAGGGGACAGUGGUGCAAAGAGAAGCUGGACAGGCGCCCACACCUGGCUGGCACGCACACCUGUGUGCACCGAGGGGGAACUGACGAGCACCUGAAUUGCCAAGCCAGGCUGCAGUAAGUCAUUAGGAUCGGGGUGAGAUGCCCCCACAGGGACAAGGUGAGAAUCAGAGGGGUUUCCUUUCUCAGCUAAGAAAGGCCCCAGGGGCAGCCUCUGCCCCACAUGGCUCUCAGUACCAGCGACGGGCAGGGUCCCUUCGUUCUCACUGCAGUUUCCCCAGGGCUCCCAUGCCACCAGCUGCCUCUUCUAGAAACUCCCCAUCAGGCCUUCUCCCCCACGAAUCUUGGCAAUGCCCUUGCUGCCUCUCUCACACCCUCCUGUCCUCCUCUUCCUACAAACAUGCUCCUGUCUCCAUCCCACCUUGAAGAAACCCUUGGCCGAUACUGCACCCACCCAUGGUCCCAGGAUAACCCCUUUUCUUCUGUAGGCUAAUAAAACAGAGAAAGUAAGUGCAUCGGGCACUCCAGACCAAAGCCAUUUGCAGAAUGGAGUCACAGGCUGACAUCCAAGACUUUAGCCAGCUGGCUUCAGGCAGCAGAUGCAAAGGAGAGGUCAUGAGCAGGCCAGGCCCUGGCUAGGCAGGUGAGAGAUGACAGCGAGCUUGUCUAGGACGAGGGCCCCAGGAAGCCCUUGGGAACCCAGGGUGGUUAGGCCAGGCCAGUUGGUGAGAGCCUGAACUCUGGAAGGAAAGAACAGGCUGUAGUGUGAACGGGACCAUCCCUCCUGCAUCGUAGCUGCCUUGUAAUCCCAUCCUCCUGACUCAGGCUGGGCUCUGCAUCAGGCAACCCAGAGUCCAGGCACCCCAGUUUGUCAGGCCUGUGUGGGACAGCGCCUGAGCCGGGAGGGCUCCCUUCCCUCCUCCAGGAUGCUCUGGCCUUGUCUCUGUCAUGGCCAUUUAUUGCAACCACGGUCAAUAAAGGAGGCAGGAGAGGGCACAGUGGCUGUGAAAACGUUUGGCUCACGAGGAACAGGAAUCCUAACUGGGUGGGACAAGGAGGCAGGUGGUGUCGUGGUUAAAGCACAGGCCUGGGAUCACACUGCAGGGGCUCAGAUCCCAGAUCUGCAACAAUGUGGCUGCGAUGGCCCUGGCUGGGCGCGGUGGCUCAAGCCCCUCCAGUCUCCGAUUCGCCAGCCUGGCUGUUCACACACAGGGGAUGCACCGGCUUCCCAGGCAUCCUGGGCACCCCCUCCAGGUGGCAUCGGGGCUCCCCAGCACUGAAGGGUGUUCAGCAGCCUGCAAACCAACUGACUCACAGAGCCCAGAUAGUGAUGCCAAGACCAGCCGCUCCGGGGCCAACGUCGGAGCUGGAGAGCUGAGCCAGUGGCACGCCAGUCACUGAGGAAGGCCCCUUGUUGAUAAAGACAGGGCAUGAAUUCUUGGGGGGCUGUUACGUACCUUCCCAAAGGGAGAAAGAAACCCCUUGUUCAGUCACCGCACAGCUGUCUCUGGAGACAGGAGCACAAAGCUGCCUUCUGCCCAGGGCACUGCUUCCUUGGCAAGUGACCAGCAGCUGGGACCGCACGUGCCAAAGGCAGCAGCUGCCAUGUUUGACAAACUGGAACGGAGCUAUGUCCAAAUUAAAUCCCCCCAACCAGCCUCUGCCAUACUCCCUUUGGGGACAGGGGUGGUCGGUCGUUACGCUUGCAAAAUUCAAACAGCACCUAGAGUCCCAGGAAAUGGGGCUGCUGGCCAAUAGAGGUGGGACCCAGGGUGACAGGCCACAUGCUCCUCAGAGAGCCAACAGUGUUUCCUGAAUUCUAUGGGAAUUUGCCGAGGGGACAUGGAAGCUAGGAUUCCAGAACACCCGCUGGGAGCCUAGUCCUGGGCUGGGGGCUGCAUUUAUCAUUUCAUCCUCACAACUACCAUUGCAGCUUCGCCUAACAGAGAAGGAGACAAAACUAACCCGGUGGCCACGUGGCCGAAGGCACAGAGCCGUUGAGUGGCAGCGUGGCAUUUGAAUUCAGGCCUGGUGAUGCUGAAGUCCCCAGGUCUUUUUUUUUUUUGAUGCCCACAAAAAUGUAACUACUAAUAGCCUGCUAUUGAUGCAGACCUUACCAAUAACAUAAAUAGUUGAUGAACAC